This 259-nucleotide ribosomal RNA is filed under the name uncultured bacterium. RNAcentral describes it as "partial small subunit ribosomal RNA". It matches the Rfam family "Bacterial small subunit ribosomal RNA", at positions 26 to 285 of the family's 1533-position model. The record is from RNAcentral.
AGGACGAACGCUGGCGGCGUGCUUAACACAUGCAGGUCGAGCGAGGCCCCUCCUUCGGGAGGGUGUCCUAGCGGCGAACGGGUGAGUAACACGUGGGCAACCUGCCCUCAGCUCUGGGAUAACCCCGGGAAACCGGGGCUAAUACCGGAUACGACCUCCACGGGCAUCUGCGGAGGUGGAAAGGUUUUCCGGCUGAGGAUGGGCCCGCGGCCUAUCAGCUAGUUGGUGGGGUGAUGGCCCACCAAGGCGACGACGGGUA